AAGCCAGGUUUUACUUCCCUGUUACAACUUCUUUCUCUUUCAUGAGCUUUCCCCAGCUUCAUGGAGAAGAAGCAUGGUGUUGAAGCAAGAAAAGCUGGGCAAGGAGCCUGUGCAAAAUCAAGGCUGUACCACUUCUCAAAGGAACCCAUAAAUGAUUUAGGCCACUGUUCACGAAUGAAAAUGCCUGUGGGGUCCAUGACGUACUGUACAUAUUCCCAUCACUCCAUUUACCGCCCUGCUUGUAUCUGCUGACUUCACUGAACUAUGAGCACCUAGAUGGUAAAACAUAUUCACAUGAAAUUAAGAGAUGGAGUAUUUCAUUGAGAUUAAAAGAAAGCCAUUAAAAGGAAUGAUAAAUUGUGAAAACCGGGUGUGACUGCCUAGCCAGACAUGUACUUCCAAGAUCAGAGACUACGUGCUUCAGUUCAUAAACACAGAGGAAAACCGGCUGGCCUAAUUUAAUGGUGCCCUGGGUGAAGUUUUCAGGGCUUUGCAGGAAAUCUCAGAGGCUCAUUGAUACAAAGAAGUCAGCAAGAAUCAUGACCGAUACUGAGUUUAAUGUGAGAGUUAGGGCACAAAAUGAAAACCAAAAUGGAGGUUUUCGGUUCAAAGAAGAAUUACGAAGAUAUAAAGAAAAUUCUCAUAAUUUAAAGAUUACUAUAAAACAUAAACGGUAAGAUAUUUGGUGGUGAGUCCUUCUGUAUAUACCUUAUGGUUGCUUUAGAGCAACAGAUGAUAUGUUUAUAAAGAUAACUUGAAGACGGCUGAGGUGAUUGCUGAGUGUUUAUACCUCUCGUCAUUUAUCAAUCAAAAGAAUCCCAGGGGCUCUAAAAUGAAUUUCAGGAUUAUAGAGGUUAAAAAAAAUUAGACUUAUCAUCAUAUCUAUAACGCCAGUUCUAAUAAUGGACAGACUUCUAUUAUUUGUAUUCCAGGUAAUAAAAUAUAUUUUCUAUUAGGGGUUAUUAUGUAGUAGGAUAAAAGAAAGAGUUUAAAUCCUCAAAGAAGAGAUUCUAGUCAUUCUUGUAACUGAAUAAAUUCCACCGCAGAUGGCUUAUGUCAAAUCAAAGAAAAAAAAUACUCCAAGGAUGGUCUGGUCCAAGGGACUAAACAUUGUAAUUUCCUUAA
This is a long non-coding RNA of Equus caballus (horse), 1125 nucleotides long. RefSeq lists it as uncharacterized. Lineage: Eukaryota; Metazoa; Chordata; Mammalia; Perissodactyla; Equidae. The record is from RefSeq and is a predicted model, not a curated record.